This 468-nucleotide ribosomal RNA is filed under the name uncultured bacterium. RNAcentral describes it as "partial 16S ribosomal RNA". It matches the Rfam family "Bacterial small subunit ribosomal RNA", at positions 28 to 507 of the family's 1533-position model. The record is from RNAcentral.
GACGAACGCUGGCGGCGUGCUUAACACAUGCAAGUCGAACGGAAAGGCCCUGCUUUUGUGGGGUGCUCGAGUGGCGAACGGGUGAGUAACACGUGAGUAACCUGCCCUUGACUUUGGGAUAACUUCAGGAAACUGGGGCUAAUACCGGAUAGGAGCUCCUGCUCCAUGGUGGGGGGUGGAAAGUUUCGGCGGGUGGGGAUGGACUCGCGGCUUAUCAGCUUGUUGGUGGGGUAGUGGCUUACCAAGGCUUUGACGGGUAGCCGGCCUGAGAGGGUGACCGGCCACAUUGGGACUGAGAUACGGCCCAGACUCCUACGGGAGGCAGCAGUGGGGAAUAUUGCACAAUGGGCGGAAGCCUGAUGCAGCAACGCCGCGUGCGGGAUGACGGCCUUCGGGUUGUAAACCGCUUUCGCCUGUGACGAAGCGUGAGUGACGGUAACGGGUAAAGAAGCACCGGCUAACUACGUG